This 253-nucleotide ribosomal RNA is filed under the name uncultured bacterium. RNAcentral's name for it is "partial 16S ribosomal RNA". It matches the Rfam family "Bacterial small subunit ribosomal RNA", at positions 524 to 776 of the family's 1533-position model. The record is from RNAcentral.
UACGUAGGGACCAAGCGUUGUUCGGAUUUACUGGGCGUAAAGGGCGCGUAGGCGGCAAUUCAAGUCAUCUGUGAAAUCUCCGGGCUUAACUCGGAACGGUCAGAUGAUACUGCUUUGCUAGAGUGCGGAAGGGGCAAUCGGAAUUCUCGGUGUAGCGGUGAAAUGCGUAGAUAUCGAGAGGAACACCUGAGGUGAAGACGGGUUGCUGGGCCGACACUGACGCUGAGGCGCGAAAGCCAGGGUAGCAAACGGG